Long non-coding RNA from Talpa occidentalis (Iberian mole), 829 nucleotides. RefSeq lists it as uncharacterized. NCBI's taxonomy places the organism in Eukaryota, Metazoa, Chordata, Mammalia, Eulipotyphla, Talpidae. The record is from RefSeq and is a predicted model, not a curated record. The transcript has 6 exons.
CCUUAUCCUUUCUCUGCCAGGGAACAAGUUUGGCCAACUGCAAACAGCCCAUAAGCUGGGUUUGAAGAGAGUGGGUCUGAGGAGAUGGUACCUGGACAGAAAUAAUUAAGGACCUGUGUUCUGUCCGCUGAAUGCUAUCCAAGGCUGUAAGAAAUCCCAGGACCUGGCAGCUCUGCCUUGUAUUAGCACUGGCAGAUAAUUAGGUAAACAGGAAGCCUGCUUUGCAUUGGUAACACCACUGUGAUGUGUCUGUCAGGCAGACACUGAAGAUGACAAGUGAAUGCUGUGGCUUCUCAGUGAAGGGACUGGAGUGAAUACUAGAUGCCUGAUUUGUUGACUUAGUUCCAAGGACCAAAUUCCUGCUACAAAGGAAGUUGGGAAAAAUCAAGAGUGGCUCAUUCCAUUAAUCAGGAGUUCCGGGAAAAGGAAAAUGAAAAGAGAAUACUCAUCAAACUACACAGGCUGAGACUACAACUACACAUUGUCAACACCCAUAGGAGAUGUUCAUUCGAUUAUGGAAAGACACAGAAGGUGUUACCUAGAAUGCAGAGUCCAUCUGUGCAGUUUUCGGAUUCUUGGCUUAGACCUUCACAGAAUUUGCCCCCGUUUCGCGGGGGCGGGGCGGUGCACUCUCGGAUCCUCAAGUGCUCACACUCUGGACUGCAGACCGACCAUUCACUCCAUACUUCCCAGCUCCCAUCCACUUCAAAAGAAAACAAGAGGAACCAUCAUUAGAAUGAACUAGAGAGCUGUCAGGAGAUUCACCCCAGGACUGCUGUUCUUAGAGCUGGAUUUUAAAGAAAUCACCAUCACAACAAAAAUAAAAUCA